CCCACCGGGGAGGCACAUAGUAGG
RNAcentral lists this non-coding RNA (24 nucleotides) under Cricetulus griseus (Chinese hamster). Lineage: Eukaryota; Metazoa; Chordata; Mammalia; Rodentia; Cricetidae. The record is from RNAcentral.